This 367-nucleotide ribosomal RNA is filed under the name uncultured bacterium. Its description in RNAcentral is "partial 16S ribosomal RNA". It matches the Rfam family "Bacterial small subunit ribosomal RNA", at positions 338 to 698 of the family's 1533-position model. The record is from RNAcentral.
CCUACGGGAGGCAGCAGUAGGGAAUCUUCGGCAAUGGGGGGAACCCUGACCGAGCAACGCCGCGUGAAGGAAGAAGGAAUUCGUUCUGUAAACUUCUGUUAGAAAGGAAGAAAGACGGUUGGAGGAAAUGACAUCGGAGGGACGGUACUUUAUGAGAACGCCACGGCUAACUACGUGCCAGCAGCUGCGGUAAUACGUAGGUGGCAAGCGUUAUCCGGAAUGAUUGGGCGGAAAGAGGGCGCAGGCGGCAGCAAAGGGGUGUGGUGAAAGAGUGAGGCUUAACUUCAGUACGCCAUUGAUACUGUGGAGCUAGAGAGCAGACGAGGUACGUGGAAUUCCAUAAGUAGCGGUGAAAUGCGUAGAUAUA